Molecule: ribosomal RNA, 377 nt
Filed under: uncultured eukaryote
Lineage: Eukaryota
Description: partial 18S ribosomal RNA
Rfam family: Eukaryotic small subunit ribosomal RNA
Source: RNAcentral
CAAUAGCGUAUAUUAAAGUUGUUGCAGUUAAAAAGCUCGUAGUUGGAUUUCGGGGCAGCCUGGCUGGUCCGCCGCAAGGCGAGUACGGGUCAGCCGCCCUUCCUCUCGAAAGCCCCGACUGCUCUUCGUUGCAGUGGUCGGGUAGUUCGGGACGUUUACUUUGAAAAAAUUAGAGUGUUCAAGGCAGGCCUACGCCUGAAUACAUUAGCAUGGAAUAAUGGAAGAGGACCUCGGUCCUAUUUUGUUGGUUUCCAGGGCCGAAGUAAUGAUUAAGAGGGACAGUUGGGGGCAUUCGUAUUUAAUUGUCAGAGGUGAAAUUCUCGGAUUUAUGAAAGACGAACAACUGCGAAAGCAUUUGCCAAGGAUGUUUUCAUUAA